Molecule: ribosomal RNA, 2391 nt
Filed under: Triticum aestivum (bread wheat)
Lineage: Eukaryota; Viridiplantae; Streptophyta; Magnoliopsida; Poales; Poaceae
Description: partial small subunit ribosomal RNA
Source: RNAcentral
CCGUAAACUAAUAUAAGAGUGUUUAGAUUACUAACUAAUAUAAAAGUGUUUAGAUUAUUAUUUUAGUAAUCUAAACGCUUUUUUAGUGAUCUAAACGCUCUUAUAUUAGUUUACAGAGGGAGUACUUGGCAAUUCAAUCAACCCAAAUCCACCCUCUGCCCGACCCUCUCGUCCAAAACCCAGCGUCCACGGCGAUUUCUCCUCUCCUCUCUCCUCUGCUCUCGCCGAUGCACCGCAUGGCUCACUUCCCGCUGUUGCCGGCUCUAGCGCUGGCGGUCACCUGCGCGUUGGUUCCGUUCACCGUCGCUGACCCGCAGGCUACGCAGCUCAACCUUGGGUGCAGCCAGUACAACGCCACGCCCACGGCCGCCUUCCUCGCGGCCCUAAACUCCACCUUUGCUGAGCUCCGCGCCAACCUCUCCGCCGGCAGCGGCUUCGCCACCGCCGCGGAGCCUCGCGCCGCCGCGCCGGCGUUCGCGUUGGCGCAGUGCCGCCCAUACGUCACCGGGAGGGACUGCGUCGCCUGCUUCGACGCCGCCGCGGCGCGCAUCCACGCCGCCUGCGGGGCUGCUAACGGCGGGCGCGCCAUCCUCGACGGCUGCGUCAUACGGUACGAGAGCGUGGCGUUCUUCGACCAGUCCACCCUCCCUGGCAACACGCAGCGCUGCAACGGCUCCGCCGUGCCCGGCACCGCUUUCGACGGCGCGGUGCAGGCGCUGAUCAACGACCUCGCGGCAGCCGUGCCUCGCUUCCCGCGGCUAGCUGCGGCGGCCGCGGGCACCGGCGUGUACGCGAUGGCGCAGUGUGUGGAGACGGUCGGGCAGGACGGCUGCGCGCAGUGCCUCCAGGUAGCUGCGAGCAACAUUGACCGGUGCCCGCCCAAUUCCGACGGCCGGGCAGUGGACGCCGGGUGCUUCAUGAGGUACUCUGAUAAGCCCUUCUUCCCGGCUAAUGCGACGGCAGACCUGACGCCCUACUUGCGCUCUGGAAAAUCAAGAGGGAAGGGGGCCAUUGUAGGAGCAAUUUUGGGAGGUCUGGCCUUCCUGUUGCUUCUAGGGUUAUUAGCUUUGUUUUGGACCUGGCGGUCUAUGAAGCUAAAGAAGCCUCGAAGAGGUGAUAUACUUGGAGCAACGGAACUGCAAGGUCCAACAAAUUUUAACUAUCACGAUCUUAAGGCUGCAACCAAUAAUUUUAGUGAGAAAAGUAAAAUUGGAGAAGGAGGUUUUGGAGAUGUCUUUAAGGGCUUACUGAAAAAUGGGAAAAUUGUUGCAGUAAAAAGGUUGUCAGUAAUGCAAACUAGCAGGGCCAAAGAAGAUUUUGAAAGCGAGGUAAAGCUUAUUAGCAAUGUUCAGCAUCGAAAUCUUGUCCGGCUUCUUGGUUGUUCUCGCAAGGGUUCUGAAUGCCUCCUUGUUUAUGAAUAUAUGGUGAAUAGUAGCCUUGACAAGUUUCUCUACGGUAAGAGACGUGGAACACUUAACUGGAAGCAGCGAUUCAAUAUCAUCGUUGGCAUGGCUCGUGGCCUUGCAUAUCUUCAUCAAGAGUUUCAUGUGUGUAUCAUACACCGUGAUAUUAAAUCUAGCAAUGUUCUUCUUGAUGAUGACUUCCAACCUAAGAUUGCUGAUUUUGGUUUGGCAAGGCUCCUACCUGAUGAUCAUAGUCAUCUCAGCACUAGAUUUGCAGGAACAUUGGGUUACACUGCUCCUGAGUAUGCAAUCCACGGCCAGCUAUCGGAGAAGGUUGACACAUACAGCUUUGGUAUAGUCAUUUUGGAAAUAAUAAGUGGUCGGAAAAUCAAUGAUACAAGGAUUGAGGCUGAAACACAAUACCUACUUGAAUCGGCAUGGAAGCUAUAUGAAAAUGAGGACGUGAUUAAGUUGGUGGAUGGAUCGUUAGAUCACGAAGAAUAUAUGCCAGAAGAGGUAAUAAGAAUAAUAGAGAUAGCGCUUCUCUGCACUCAAUCAGUUGUUGCUUCAAGGCCAACUAUGUCAGAGGUAGUUGUGUUGUUGUUAUCAAGAAAUUCUCCAGAGAUACUACCCACAAGGCCCACUUUUAUUGAUUCAAUAAGUAGAGUGCGAGGAGAAACAUCCACGUCCAAUUCAUCCACUGCAUCCAAGGCCACCGCCUCUAUUUCACACUUAUCAGCCAGGUAAAAGGCGCUGUAUUGUAUAUGAACGCAUCUUUCCCUGUAUGAUAGUGAAAGAUUUGUAUAUACAAUUAUGUAUCUGUAUUUUAUAUAUACAUGAGUGGAUGCUUAUUUGUUAGGAUAUAAGAAAGCGGUGUGAAGUAUUUGAAAUUCCCCUCUUACUCAUGCAACGACUCAAAUAGUCUGAGCAUGUUACAAGGAUGUGCUUUUGCAUGACAUUGCUUAUCCGAGUCCAUUCUUUGUGUCCC